GUUUUUAUAGUUGAACUACAACGGUGGUUUUUCAUAUCAUUAGUCCUGGUUAAAAUCCGGGUAAAAAUU
This 69-nucleotide transfer RNA is filed under the name Gymnothorax rueppelliae (banded moray). Its description in RNAcentral is "tRNA-Glu". It matches the Rfam family "tRNA". From Rfam's summary of the family: Transfer RNA (tRNA) molecules are approximately 80 nucleotides in length. Their secondary structure includes four short double-helical elements and three loops (D, anti-codon, and T loops). The record is from RNAcentral. Lineage: Eukaryota; Metazoa; Chordata; Actinopteri; Anguilliformes; Muraenidae.